Molecule: ribosomal RNA, 274 nt
Filed under: uncultured bacterium
Lineage: Bacteria
Description: partial 16S ribosomal RNA
Rfam family: Bacterial small subunit ribosomal RNA
Source: RNAcentral
AUACGGAGGGUGUGAGCGUUAAUCGGAAUUACUGGGCGUAAAGCGCGCGUAGGCGGUUUGGUCAGUCGGAUGUGAAAGCUCCAGGCUCAACCUGGGAAUGGCAUUCGAUACUGCCUGACUAGAGUAUGGUAGAGGGAAGUGGAAUUUCCGGUGUAGCGGUGAAAUGCGUAGAUAUCGGAAGGAACACCAGUGGCGAAGGCGACUUCCUGGGCCAAUACUGACGCUAAGGUGCGAAAGCGUGGGGAGCAAACAGGAUUAGAAACCCGAGUAGUCC